AUUGAACGCUGGCGGCAUGCCUUACACAUGCAAGUCGAACGGUAACAGGUCUUCGGAUGCUGACGAGUGGCGAACGGGUGAGUAAUACAUCGGAACGUGCCUAGUAGUGGGGGAUAACUACUCGAAAGGGUGGCUAAUACCGCAUGAGAUCUACGGAUGAAAUCAGUGGAUCGCAAGACCUUGUGCUACUAGAGCGGCCGAUGGCAGAUUAGGUAGUUGGUGGUAUAAAAGCUUACCAAGCCGACGAUCUGUAGCUGGUCUGAGAGGACGAUAAGCCACACUGGGACUGAGACACGGCCCAGACUCCUACGGGAGGCAGCAGUGGGGAAUUUUGGAAAAUGGGCGCAAGCCUGAUCCAGCAAUGCCGCGUGCAGGAUGAAGGCCUUCGGGUUGUAAACUGCUUUUGUACGGAACGAAAAGCCCUGGGUUAAUACCCUGGGGUCAUGACGGUACCGUAAGAAUAAGCACCGGCUAACUACGUGCCAGCAGCCGCCGUAA
Molecule: ribosomal RNA, 498 nt
Filed under: uncultured bacterium
Lineage: Bacteria
Description: partial 16S ribosomal RNA
Rfam family: Bacterial small subunit ribosomal RNA
Source: RNAcentral